RNAcentral lists this ribosomal RNA (1805 nucleotides) under Serratia grimesii NBRC 13537. RNAcentral's name for it is "bacterial LSU rRNA". It matches the Rfam family "Bacterial large subunit ribosomal RNA", at positions 1147 to 2925 of the family's 2925-position model. The record is from RNAcentral. Lineage: Bacteria; Pseudomonadati; Pseudomonadota; Gammaproteobacteria; Enterobacterales; Yersiniaceae.
GGUCGAGUCGGCCUGCGCGGAAGAUGUAACGGGGCUAAACCAUGCACCGAAGCUGCGGCAGCGACGCUUAGGCGUUGUUGGGUAGGGGAGCGUUCUGUAAGCCGUUGAAGGUGGCCUGUGAGGGUUGCUGGAGGUAUCAGAAGUGCGAAUGCUGACAUAAGUAACGAUAAAGCGGGUGAAAAACCCGCUCGCCGGAAGACCAAGGGUUCCUGUCCAACGUUAAUCGGGGCAGGGUGAGUCGACCCCUAAGGCGAGGCCGAAAGGCGUAGUCGAUGGGAAACAGGUUAAUAUUCCUGUACUCGGUGUUACUGCGAAGGGGGGACGGAGAAGGCUAGGCUAGCCGGGCGACGGUUGUCCCGGUUUAAGCGUGUAGGGGGAGUGACCUGGUAAAUCCGGUUACUUAUUCAACCCUGAGGCGUGAUGACGAUGCACUACGGUGCAGAAGUAGUUGAUGCCAAGCUUCCAGGAAAAGCCUCUAAGCAUCAGGUAACACAGAAUCGUACCCCAAACCGACACAGGUGGUCAGGUAGAGAAUACCAAGGCGCUUGAGAGAACUCGGGUGAAGGAACUAGGCAAAAUGGUGCCGUAACUUCGGGAGAAGGCACGCUGGCGCGUAGGUGAAGAGACUUGCUCUCGGAGCUGAAGCCAGUCGCAGAUACCAGCUGGCUGCAACUGUUUAAUAAAAACACAGCACUGUGCAAACACGAAAGUGGACGUAUACGGUGUGACGCCUGCCCGGUGCUGGAAGGUUAAUUGAUGGGGUCAGCCGCAAGGCGAAGCUCUUGAUCGAAGCCCCAGUAAACGGCGGCCGUAACUAUAACGGUCCUAAGGUAGCGAAAUUCCUUGUCGGGUAAGUUCCGACCUGCACGAAUGGCGUAAUGAUGGCCAGGCUGUCUCCACCCGAGACUCAGUGAAAUUGAACUCGCUGUGAAGAUGCAGUGUACCCGCGGCAAGACGGAAAGACCCCGUGAACCUUUACUAUAGCUUGACACUGAACAUUGAGCCUUGAUGUGUAGGAUAGGUGGGAGGCUUUGAAGUGUGGACGCCAGUCUGCAUGGAGCCAACCUUGAAAUACCACCCUUUAAUGUUUGAUGUUCUAACUCGGCCCCAUAAUCUGGGGUGAGGACAGUGUCUGGUGGGUAGUUUGACUGGGGCGGUCUCCUCCCAAAGAGUAACGGAGGAGCACGAAGGUUAGCUAAUCACGGUCGGACAUCGUGAGGUUAGUGCAAAGGCAUAAGCUAGCUUGACUGCGAGAGUGACGGCUCGAGCAGGUACGAAAGUAGGUCUUAGUGAUCCGGUGGUUCUGAAUGGAAGGGCCAUCGCUCAACGGAUAAAAGGUACUCCGGGGAUAACAGGCUGAUACCGCCCAAGAGUUCAUAUCGACGGCGGUGUUUGGCACCUCGAUGUCGGCUCAUCACAUCCUGGGGCUGAAGUAGGUCCCAAGGGUAUGGCUGUUCGCCAUUUAAAGUGGUACGCGAGCUGGGUUUAGAACGUCGUGAGACAGUUCGGUCCCUAUCUGCCGUGGGCGUUGGAAGAUUGAGAGGGGUUGCUCCUAGUACGAGAGGACCGGAGUGAACGCACCACUGGUGUUCGGGUUGUCAUGCCAAUGGCACUGCCCGGUAGCUAAGUGCGGAAAAGAUAAGCGCUGAAAGCAUCUAAGCGCGAAACUUGCCUCGAGAUGAGUCUUCCCUGGGAACUUGAUUCCCCUGAAGGAACGUUUAAGACUAAGACGUUGAUAGGCUGGGUGUGUAAGUGCAGCGAUGCAUUGAGCUAACCAGUACUAAUGAUCCGUGAGACUUAACCUU